UUCAAAACCGCCAGCUUGUGGUCUGUCAAACUCACAAGUUCCUUCAUGCGGAUAACCUCCUUCAUUUCAGAUUUAAGACCGUUGAAGAACACCUUGAUCAGAUUAUUCUCAUCAAUCCCUGUAACUUGGUUUCUCAAAGCCUCAAAUUCGUUCACAUAGUCGACAAUAUCACCCUCUUGCGUCAAACAGAAUAGCCUCGCUGCUGGAUCAUUGUCAAUGGGACCGCCAAACCUGUCUAACAUCUGCUUGGUGAACUGCUCCCAACUCACAAAAGGAUCACUGAUAACUUCGCCGUUGAACCACUGUAGAACUGGUCCUUCUAGACUCAGAGAGACUAGAUUCAGCUUCUCAUCCUCGUUGUAGUUCCCAAAUCUAAAAAAAUCUUUCAACACGCGAGAUCCAAUCGAAAGGCAAAGGAGCAGAGAACUCAAGCAUUUCAAUCCUUCUCAACAUCUUAUCGCGAUUUGCAAGAGUACCAUGGAUUCCCCGAUAACCUAACUGUGUUGGAGAUCUUUCCAUUUCAGAGAUAGGAAUCGGUACCUGAUCGAUUUGAGGUUCCGACGUUGAAGCAAUCUCCUUCCCCGGUCACUGAUUGAAUAUCGCUGAAUCCUCCAAUCGAGUCAAGACGUCGGUGAUAUGGUUCAUCUGCUUCUCGAUUGCCUCGAAUCUUGAAGUAGAUUCGAUCGCCAUCGUUUCAAUCUUCUUCUCCACCGAAUCGAGCUUCUUCGUCGUCACUUGAUCACUCUGAGCUAACUUCUCAUAGUUGUGCUUGGCCAGCUCCAACUCAUCUUGAAUCUGAUGGAUAUCCAUCGAUUUCGAUGCAUCU
RNAcentral lists this long non-coding RNA (826 nucleotides) under Brassica napus (rape). RNAcentral's name for it is "long non-coding RNA (BNAP_LNC010802)". The record is from RNAcentral. Lineage: Eukaryota; Viridiplantae; Streptophyta; Magnoliopsida; Brassicales; Brassicaceae.